UCGGCAUUAUUUUUGGAAUAACGAAGUAGCAGCUGAACCUCUUAUCAUAUCACGUUUGCAGUAGCACAGAUUGAGCCAUCUCGUUUCUAUUUUCACAAUAACAUUUUUCAGGAUGCAAAAUGGCCACAUGCUUCUCCCUGAUUAGCCGUUUGAGAGCAUGUACAGUGUGUGAUUAUAAUAACAUCCACCUGCAGCAAUCAACUGAGUCAAUUCACCACUGGGCCAACCAACGAUGGAGCAAAAUAAUGCAUUUCUUCCAAUUUGUUAACUGCACCACAUGCUUCUCGCUGAAGAUAAGACAAAAGCAACAUUUUUUUAUAGGACCUCAAGUCAUCAACGACAACUGUGAUAUGAUUGGUGUGAUUAUUGCCAACUCAUACUUGGCCUAUUUUUCAGUGACGAAAAGGGUAGCAGAUGAUUCAAGUUUUUUUUUUGCGUGGGCCUAGCAUUGCGGUUCAGGUUGACCAGAUUAGCUUGCAUACUUUCAUUUCAGUCAUGAUUCUUACAUAUCACACAAAUAUUUUUUUUUACCUCAAUGAGAUUACAGGAAACAGACUUGGAAACAAAAGCAAAGAAAGAAGAAAAAAUGAAACGACAGCAGCAGCUAAUUAAUUCUACCCCCAUGAAAAAGAAACAAAUAUAUCUACUUCAAAAAAUAUAUCGCAGACUGAUGCUUAUUCCUCGCCAUCUUAAAACACUUAUUCUGUUGCAAGUUGCAGUCGUACACCUUAGUUCUCACAAUUAAAUGUACGAUCUUCAUUUAUUCAUACAACAAAAAUUAACAAUGUGCAACAACUUUGAUGCAACUAUAUACAACACAACUUCAAUUGGAAAAUGCAUGGGGAAGCUCAAAGCACAUAUUAAUAAACAACCCUACAAAUAGAUAUAAACAAGGACAGGAAAGAACUAGAUGAUAAACAAAAGGGGAGCAGAAAUGAACUCAAUAAGUGGUGAUAUCUGUUAUUGUCAGAAGAUGAACUCUACAUUGGAGAAAAUAGAAAUGUUUUCGGCACAAACUUACUUGGAGGGACUUAAAUGAAUUCGUUUAUUGUCCUGCAGAGCAUAGAACUUGUAACUGGCCUCUUUUCUCAUGGCUAAAUUUCUUUGUUCUCAGUAUGGUGGCCUCCUC
RNAcentral lists this long non-coding RNA (1129 nucleotides) under Oryza sativa (Asian cultivated rice). RNAcentral describes it as "long non-coding RNA (OSAT_LNC000469)". Lineage: Eukaryota; Viridiplantae; Streptophyta; Magnoliopsida; Poales; Poaceae. The record is from RNAcentral.